This 492-nucleotide ribosomal RNA is filed under the name uncultured bacterium. RNAcentral's name for it is "partial 16S ribosomal RNA". It matches the Rfam family "Bacterial small subunit ribosomal RNA", at positions 29 to 507 of the family's 1533-position model. The record is from RNAcentral.
AGUGAACGCUGGCGGUAGGCCUAACACAUGCAAGUCGAACGGCAGCACAGUAAGAGCUUGCUCUUACGGGUGGCGAGUGGCGGACGGGUGAGGAAUACGUCGGAAUCUACUUUUUCGUGGGGGAUAACGUAGGGAAACUUACGCUAAUACCGCAUACGACCUACGGGUGAAAGCAGGUGAUCUUCUGACCUUGCGCUAUUGAAUGAGCCGAUGUCGGAUUAGCUAGUUGGCGGGGUAAAGGCCCACCAAGGCGACGAUCCGUAGCUGGUCUGAGAGGAUGAUCAGCCACACUGGAACUGAGACACGGUCCAGACUCCUACGGGAGGCAGCAGUGGGGAAUAUUGGACAAUGGGCGCAAGCCUGAUCCAGCCAUACCGCGUAGGUGAAGAAGGCCUUCGGGUUGUAAAGCCCUUUUGUUGGGAACGAAAAGCAGCAGGUUAAUACCCCGCUGUUCUGACGGUACCCAAAGAAUAAGCACCGGCUAGCUUCGUG